This is a non-coding RNA of Lolium perenne, 676 nucleotides long. The record is from RefSeq and is a predicted model, not a curated record. NCBI's taxonomy places the organism in Eukaryota, Viridiplantae, Streptophyta, Magnoliopsida, Poales, Poaceae.
UCUUCACUCCCACACACCCUCCUCCUCCCCUCCCCACGAAAUAUUGCUCCCCCAAGGCUUCAUGGCCGGCCAUGGCCAUGGAAAGAGCUCCAAGAUGAAGUCCCCUCCUCCCUCAAGCUCCUCCUCACCAUGAGAGCCUCCCUCUCCUUCUUCUCCCCAACCCUAGAGGGUUUUCUCUCCUCUUCCUCUUCCUCCAUUGCUAAGAUUGGAUCUUGAUGCAGGUGCAUGUUGGUCCAAGCAUGGAGAAGCUUGAGCAAUCCUCAGAUCUGAAGUUCUUGAGCAAAAUCCAAAUCGAGUGAUUCAAAGUUCCGCGGAUAGGUAUUCAAAAGAUCUACAACUUGGCGUUGGUCUCAUCCUCAAAUUCGCUACAGAUUCUCCCUGAUCAAGAUCUGGACAGAUCUGGCUUUGUCGAAUUAAACCAGGAGCUUGGGAACAAAUUUUUGAAUGAAACAAAUUGGGGGAUGUUUGGGUUAUACCAUGGUGAUAACAGAGAGAGGCAAUUGCUAAGUUGUGAUACUCUCAUACCUUUACUAGGUAAAUAACAUGGGUUUUCUUUAAGUUGUUUGUGGUAUCUAUAAGUCCUUUGUAUGGUAGCUCUUUAUUGAAUGGUUAAAUUAUGGUUGUUGUAUGUUUGUUUUGUUGGUGCAAUGUGAUUGAUUGUGUUCCUUUUUAUAUU